This 253-nucleotide ribosomal RNA is filed under the name uncultured bacterium. RNAcentral describes it as "partial 16S ribosomal RNA". It matches the Rfam family "Bacterial small subunit ribosomal RNA", at positions 524 to 776 of the family's 1533-position model. The record is from RNAcentral.
UACGGGGGGGGCAAGCGUUGUUCGGAGUUACUGGGCGUAAAGGGCUCGUAGGCGGCCAACUAAGUCGGAUGUGAAAUCCCCAGGCUUAACCUGGGAAUUGCAUCCGAUACUGGAUGGCUUGAAUCCGGGAGAGGGAUGCGGAAUUCCAGGUGUAGCGGUGAAAUGCGUAGAUAUCUGGAGGAACACCGGUGGCGAAGGCGGCAUCCUGGACCGGCAUUGACGCUGAGGAGCGAAAGCCAGGGGAGCAAACGGG